RNAcentral lists this ribosomal RNA (528 nucleotides) under Pyxicephalus edulis (edible bullfrog). Its description in RNAcentral is "partial 16S ribosomal RNA". It matches the Rfam family "Bacterial large subunit ribosomal RNA", at positions 1845 to 2590 of the family's 2925-position model. Lineage: Eukaryota; Metazoa; Chordata; Amphibia; Anura; Pyxicephalidae. The record is from RNAcentral.
AUANGAGGUCCAGCCUGCCCAGUGACAAAGUUCAACGGCCGCGGUACCCUAACCGUGCGAAGGUAGCAUAAUCACUUGUUCUUUAAAUAAGGACUAGUAUCAACGGCAUCACGAGGGCUAUACUGUCUCCUUUCUCCAAUCAGUGAAACUGAUCUCCCCGUGAAGAAGCGGGGAUUCAACUAUUAGACGAGAAGACCCCAUGGAGCUUCAAGCCCAAAAGCAACUUACUUCUUCAUAACCUCUAAACCACCAAGUUAUGCUUAUUGGCUUUGGGUUGGGGUGACCGCGGAGUACAAUAUAACCUCCACGAUGUAAAGGAUUUCCCCCUUAUCUAAGAACAACAGUUCGAAGAACCUUAAAAAUGUCAUAAAAUGAUCCGAACUUCGAUCAACGGACCAAGUUACCCUGGGGAUAACAGCGCAAUCCAUUUCAAGAGCCCCUAUCGACAAAUGGGUUUACGACCUCGAUGUUGGAUCAGGGUAUCCUAGUGGUGCAGCCGCUACUAAAGGUUCGUUUGUUCAACGAUUA